GACGUAGGGCGCGAGCGUUGUCCGGAUUUAUUGGGCGUAAAGAGCUCGUAGGCGGCUUGUCGCGUCGAAUGUGAAAACUCGGGGCUCAACUCCGAGCUUGCAUUCGAUACGGGCAGGCUAGAGUUCGGUAGGGGAGACUGGAAUUCCUGGUGUAGCGGUGAAAUGCGCAGAUAUCAGGAGGAACACCGGUGGCGAAGGCGGGUCUCUGGGACGGUACUGACGCUGAGACGCGAAAGCGUGGGGAGCAAACAGG
RNAcentral lists this ribosomal RNA (253 nucleotides) under uncultured bacterium. RNAcentral describes it as "partial 16S ribosomal RNA". It matches the Rfam family "Bacterial small subunit ribosomal RNA", at positions 524 to 776 of the family's 1533-position model. The record is from RNAcentral.